Molecule: small nuclear RNA, 306 nt
Filed under: Callithrix jacchus (white-tufted-ear marmoset)
Lineage: Eukaryota; Metazoa; Chordata; Mammalia; Primates; Cebidae
Description: 7SK RNA
Rfam family: 7SK RNA
About the family: 7SK was discovered as an abundant small nuclear RNA in the mid-70s but a possible function has only recently been suggested. Two independent studies have found that 7SK RNA binds the CDK9/cyclin T complex (known as elongation factor P-TEFb). P-TEFb activates transcription by phosphorylating the C-terminal domain of RNA polymerase II.
Source: Rfam by way of RNAcentral
AUAUGUGAGGUCCAUUAGGAUGUGACAUCGAUCACCUCAUUGAUAGCAAGGUUCUAUUCAGCUGGGCUGGCUAGGUUAUGUCCCCUUCCUCUCCUACAUUCACGUGUGACUCCUAUCCCAGAAGCUGUGAGACUGGUCAAAGCAAGUGGUGUUUUCAAUUGGAGGAGGCCUAUCCUUGGUCAAAGGUAUGUGAGUCUGUAUGCUCCCCUGUUGGAGCACCAGGAGAACUACCGUAUUUGAGCCAAACAAAGUUUUAAGAAAUUUGAAAGUGACUCACUAAGUUGUGGGAUGUAGUAAGAGGUUUUU